AGAGCAGAUACUGCUUCAGAGUUGCUGAAUAAGGUGUUUGGUGUUUAAACCUAACAUUAAUUGGUCCUUCGAGCCGGAUUGCAAGACACCUGACGAUUCCCAGCAGGCUGGGGUCCGACGGUUGAAGCAUUUCAAGGACGCAGAG
Molecule: long non-coding RNA, 145 nt
Organism: Cyprinodon tularosa
Lineage: Eukaryota; Metazoa; Chordata; Actinopteri; Cyprinodontiformes; Cyprinodontidae
Exons: 3
Source: RefSeq, a predicted model, not a curated record